Long non-coding RNA from Bos indicus x Bos taurus (hybrid cattle), 553 nucleotides. NCBI's taxonomy places the organism in Eukaryota, Metazoa, Chordata, Mammalia, Artiodactyla, Bovidae. The record is from Ensembl.
GGUCAGUGGGAUUAUGCAACAGAAUGUGCAAGGGUGAUGUCCUGCAAGCCGGGGGACACUUUGGAUCCAGAGAUAUAUUAUGGGUGCAAGGACAGUUAAGGGAGAUAAAUGAGACAGAAGCUGAUGGAGUUUAGCCAGAUUGGAAUGUUCAGGUUGCCCUCCUCCCUGUCCUAGGGGAAAGCAUCUGCUUUGGAAGAAACUCUGCUUGAGUGGACUUCCAAGAGAGGAAAACAGGAAUGGUCUUUGUCUUGAGACAAGGUGGAUUCCUGGCUGUUCUGGUGCUGAUGCAGAGUGAAGACAAAGAAAGGGGUUUUGUUACAGAGAAAAAGAUACUCUUUAUCCCUCCCCCUCCAUUCCAUGAGUUUCUGCACUGUCUUAGACAUCCAAGUUUGAUAAUUAAAUUGUAUUACUAUUGAUCAUGUUUGACCAUUUUAUUCUUUUGCAAAGGACUUUUUUUCUGUCCUUUUGAAAAGCACAAGGAAAUGUAAACUGAACAACUAAGUUUUGAAUACCCAUUUCCACCUCCUUAUAUAUUUGCCACAAAUCAUUCUAG